This 406-nucleotide ribosomal RNA is filed under the name uncultured bacterium. Its description in RNAcentral is "partial 16S ribosomal RNA". It matches the Rfam family "Bacterial small subunit ribosomal RNA", at positions 30 to 526 of the family's 1533-position model. The record is from RNAcentral.
AUUGAACGCUGGCGGCAGGCCUAACACAUGCAAGUCGAACGAGUGGCGGACGGGUGAGUAAUGUCUGGGAAACUGCCUGAUGGAGGGGGAUAACUACUGGAAACGGUAGCUAAUACCGCAUACCAUCAGAUGGGCCCAGAUGGGUUUAGCUUGUGGGUUGGGUAAAGGCUCACAAAGGCGACGCUCCCUAGCUGGUCUGAGAGGAUGACCAGCCACACUGGAGAGUAUACACGGUCCAUACUCCUACGGGAGGCAGCAGUGUGGAAUAUUGCACAAUGGGCGCAAGCCUGAUGCAGCCAUGCCGCGUGUAUGAAGAAGUCCUUCGGGUUGUAAAGUACUUUCAGCGGGGAGGCGUUACCCGCAGAAGAAGCACCGGCUAACUCCGUGCCAGCAGCCGCGGUAAUAC